UGGUAAAAUAGUAAGAACAUAUGGUGAAUGCCUUGGAAAAUGGAGCCGAAAAAGGACGUGAUUACCUGCGAAAAGUCUGGGGGAGCUGGAAGUAAGCUGCGAUCCCGGAAUGUCCGAAUGGGGAAACCUAACAUGAUUUAUCUCAUGUUAUCUAUAAGUGAAUACAUAGCUUAUAAGAAGGGAACCUAGGGAACUGAAACAUCUUAGUACCUAGAGGAAAAGAAAAUAAUAAUGAUUCAGUUAGUAGUGGCGAGCGAACACGGAAAAGGCCAAACCGUACUACUGGGCGGGGUUGUAGCACUUUUGUUAGAGUUACAAAGUUAUUGUAUAGUAGAAUCUAUUGGGAAGUAGCGUCAUAGAGGGUGAUACCCCCGUAUACAAACUGCAAUAACCUCGAGACAGGAUCCUGAGUACGGCGAAACAUGUGAAAUUUUGUCGGAAUCUGCCAAGACCACUUGGUAAGCCUAAAUACUACCAUUUUACCGAUAGUGAACCAGUACCGUGAGGGAAAGGUGAAAAGCACCCCGAGAGGGGAGUGAAAGAGAUCCUGAAACCAUAUGCACACA
Molecule: ribosomal RNA, 566 nt
Filed under: Klebsiella pneumoniae
Lineage: Bacteria; Pseudomonadati; Pseudomonadota; Gammaproteobacteria; Enterobacterales; Enterobacteriaceae
Description: partial 23S ribosomal RNA
Rfam family: Bacterial large subunit ribosomal RNA
Source: RNAcentral